This 446-nucleotide ribosomal RNA is filed under the name uncultured bacterium. RNAcentral describes it as "bacterial SSU rRNA". It matches the Rfam family "Bacterial small subunit ribosomal RNA", at positions 331 to 792 of the family's 1533-position model. The record is from RNAcentral.
CCAGACUCCUACGGGAGGCAGCAGUGGGGGAUAUUGCACAAUGGGGGGAACCCUGAUGCAGCGACGCCGCGUGAGUGAAGAAGUAAUUCGUUAUGUAAAGCUCUAUCAGCAGGGAAGAAUAAAUGACGGUACCUGAGUAAGAAGCCCCGGCUAACUACGUGCCAGCAGCCGCGGUAAUACGUAGGGGGCAAGCGUUAUCCGGAUUUACUGGGUGUAAAGGGAGCGUAGACGGUGAGACAAGUCUGAAGUGAAAGCCCGGGGCUCAACCCCGGGACUGCUUUGGAAACUGCCUGACUGGAGUGCUGGAGAGGCAAGCGGAAUUCCUAGUGUAGCGGUGAAAUGCGUAGAUAUUAGGAAGAACACCAGUGGCGAAGGCGGCUUGCUGGACAGUAACUGACGUUGAGGCUCGAAAGCGUGGGGAGCAAACAGGAUUAGAUACCCGAGUA